CGGCUAACUACGUGCCAGCAGCCGCGGUAAUACGUAGGCAGCGAGCGUUGUUCGGAAUUACUGGGCGUAAAGAGUGUGUAGGCGGUGCUCUAAGUCUGGUGUGAAAUCUCCCGGCUCAACUGGGAGGGUGCGCCGGAAACUGGAAUGCUAGAGUGUGGGAGGGGUAAGCGGAAUUCCUGGUGUAGCGGUGAAAUGCGUAGAUAUCAGGAGGAACACCUGUGGUGUAGACAGCUUACUGGACCACGACUGACGCUGAGACACGAAAGCGUGGGUAGCAAACAGGAUUAGAUACCCUGGUAGUCCACGCCCUAAACGAUGCAUACUUGGUGUGAGCCAUUCAUUUAGUUCGUGCCGGAGCUAACGCGUUAAGUAUGCCGCCUGGGGAGUACGGUCGCAAGGCUG
This 402-nucleotide ribosomal RNA is filed under the name uncultured bacterium. Its description in RNAcentral is "bacterial SSU rRNA". It matches the Rfam family "Bacterial small subunit ribosomal RNA", at positions 494 to 896 of the family's 1533-position model. The record is from RNAcentral.